This 253-nucleotide ribosomal RNA is filed under the name uncultured bacterium. RNAcentral's name for it is "partial 16S ribosomal RNA". It matches the Rfam family "Bacterial small subunit ribosomal RNA", at positions 524 to 776 of the family's 1533-position model. The record is from RNAcentral.
UACAGAGGUCCCAAGCGUUGUUCGGAUUCACUGGGCGUAAAGGGUGCGUAGGCGGCGGGGUAAGUUUGAUGUGAAAGCUCCGAGCUUAACUCGGAAAUGGCAUUGAAUACUAUCUUGCUCGAGGUUUGGAGGGGGGACUGGAAUUCUCGGUGUAGCAGUGAAAUGCGUAGAUAUCGAGAGGAACACCAGUGGCGAAGGCGAGUCCCUGGACAACACCUGACACUAAGGCACGAAAGCUAGGGGAGCAAACAGG